This 335-nucleotide unclassified non-coding RNA is filed under the name Hevea brasiliensis (rubber tree). The record is from RNAcentral. Lineage: Eukaryota; Viridiplantae; Streptophyta; Magnoliopsida; Malpighiales; Euphorbiaceae.
CAAUGUUGAUUUCAAGAAAGAAUUGAGGUCACUUAAUAGAGAAUUGCAGUUGCACAUUUUGGAGCUUUCUGAUGUUCUUAUUGAGAGGCCGUCACAAUAUGCUCGGAGAGUGGAAGACAUAUCCCUGAUAUUUAAGAAUUUGCAUCACCUUCUCAAUUCAUUGAGACCCCAUCAAGCUCGAGCAACAUUGAUUCAUAUUCUAGAGCUUCAGAUACAACGCCGCAAACAAGCAGUGGAAGAUAUUAAAAGGAGAAGAGAAGAAGCACAGAAACUUCUCAAGGAGGCUCUUGGAACUUUGGAUGGCCAGUAGGGCAUAAAUUGUUGGCCAAGUUUUA